UAAUUAAUGGAGGGAGUAUUAAAUUACAGCUGAGUACCGCACGGCGCUGCUGCCCGCGUGCGCCCACGAGCCGCCGCACGUCGUCUCCUCCUUCCUUUUCCCAUCUACUCGCUCGUCCUGGCCGCCGGAGCCCCUCUCCCCGCCGAGGGCUGUUGCAGGGCGCGGAACGAAGCCUCCACGCCGAGCUCGCCGGAGGGGGCGUGACCACCUCUUCGUUGAGGCGCGAUGGUGGAUGCGCACAACCACCUCUCAACCGAUCCACGCCGCUCCGUCUUGUACUGCCCCCCAGCUUCCCGCCCGCACUCAACAGGUGAGAUCCCUUCCGAUCAGUGUGAUGCGUGCAAAUCCUUCGUAUGUUUGAUUCCAUCUAUUCCUUCUGAUUCAUGUGAUCUGUAGAGAUCCUUCGUGUGCUUGAUUUCAUAUUUUUUGAGUAUAUAAUUAAUUGGUCACCAUCUGUUUGUGAUUUUGCCUAGCUGAGCAAACGUUUAUGUUUUACAUACUGCCAAUUACUUGAAUUGCAGGCUCUGUUUAAUUUGCACUCCACUGUUUGACCAUCUUGUAAAAAACGAGGGCAUGUUUAUUAAUGAGUUUGGCUCUUUCUAGGUACUGCAUUUGCUGACUUAGGUUAGUUUGUUUCGUAUGUGCUACCACAGUUAUCUUGCAGAUUAUGGUAGGUGUGGAUGUUUUUCGGGGUCCUUUUUUGUUUUGAUGGUAAACCAGGUAGAUACUUUGUUGUGCAGGCUAGAAAGUUGUAUCUGUACUAAGAAUUUUAUCAGGAUAUAUUCAGUCAAGAGCCCAGAUUUCUUAACCGCCUUUGUUCGACUAAAACAUCUAAAACUCAUCAGGGUUUUUUUCAAUUUUGAAAGGAAAUUUCGGUAGUUUUACAACUGUGGUGACUUUUAUGCUUGAAUAAUGGAGUGGCAUAGUGUAAUGUUGCAUCCUACAAAGGCACAUUGAUUUAUUUAUUUUUUACGCCUGUUUACCUUCCAUGAAUUGUAUUGCUGGUGUGUUGUUACAAGUCAUUUCAUCAAACUGAAACCUGGUGGUAUUUAACUAUCCCAACAUGCCAGUUGAAAACACGGCUUGCAAAAGGAACAAACCAACACAGACUAAAUUUGCUGGAUUGUUGGUUUACAACCUUUGUCAAUAUUUUGCCUUCGGAACGCAGAACAAAUUUUCUUGAUUGUCGGUUUACAAAAUGUGUCAAGAUUCUUGCCUUCGGAAUUUGGCAUAUAGACAACAUGAGGAACAAUCGUCGGGCAUGAUGGUUACAGAAUCACGAGCAGCCGCCGUAAAUAACCUUCGUAUCUCCAUUUCAUCAUACUUAGGAUAUUGGAGUCAGGCUCCUGCUGCCUCAUGGUCCGCCCAACGGCAGCGAGAGGUAAAAGAUUUUAAUGUUAUUAUCCUAGUGGGCGAGGUAAUGUCAAGCUGAGGAGAGAUUGGAGGGAGCCCAAAUGAAUCAUAAAAUUAAUUACAUGAGGAAUAUGGAGAAAAAUCAAGCACCGAUUUGUUUGUUGACUUAUUUGUUUUGUAAAGGGUUGCAUAUACAGAAAUUGAGUAGAUUUUUUUGCUAAAAUGAUCUUCAUUCAUCAUAAAGAAAGUAACGAUCAAACACGUGCAAUGAGAGAGUGUUAGGGUAUCCGCAAUGAUAGAUUCGGCAUUGACUCUCCACAUCAUCUAGAAUCGACAACAAAAUACACAUGUAAUAGGUUGUGUUUUUACCCUUACUAUAAAUGGUUUGUUAGCAUUAUAUGUGAUGAUGUAUGAUGUUAAAUAUGUUGACUCUUAACUGACUGUUAAUCGA
Brachypodium distachyon (stiff brome) is the source of this 1804-nucleotide long non-coding RNA. RefSeq lists it as uncharacterized. Lineage: Eukaryota; Viridiplantae; Streptophyta; Magnoliopsida; Poales; Poaceae. The record is from RefSeq and is a predicted model, not a curated record. The transcript has 2 exons.